GGAUUAUGGGGCAGCUGCCCCCUUUCUUCCACCGACAUCCAGCACCAGGAUUGCCAACUGGGGAGGAGCCUGAGACACCCAAGACACCCCUGCUGGGAGUUAGAGGGAACACACCCCAGGUGCCAAUCCCACGCGGCUCAACCUCUGCAGGGACUGAAAUGGGAGAACCGAUAGAGCAUUCUUUGGCUGUUUAAUUCAGUUGCUGGUGCAGGCAAAUCGACCGUUCUCAACGAAAUGAGGCACCAGCUCACCAGGUUGGAUGGAGGGUUUAAAAUACUGCUGAUUCCUCUGAAAAAAUAUGAACGGUUCUUACUUGAAAUGACUAGAGUGAAAGUGGAUGAAAUCGAAUUUCUCGCAAAGACAACUUGCAACUCUCGCUUCGACAUCAACAAACUGGAUUGAGAAGAGAGAAGUCAUUGUUUUCCUCGACGGAUUUGAUGAAGUGUGUCUAGAUUUUAGAGAAAAAAAUUAUGGAAAUUAUGAUUGCAUUAAAUGAUGCAAGAGUCCCACUCUUUAUCGGGACCAGGCCUCAUGAAGUGCACCACAUUCAAGAGAAGAUAAAACAUUUGACGAUAGUUGAGAUCGAACCCCUUCUUGAUAUAUGAAGCAAAGCAAAUCGAGUUUCUGCGGAUCGUUGCUGGAAAGAAUAAGCAAGAAAUCGAACAAUUGAUGAACAUGUUCAGAGACCAAGACAUUCUGGGAAACCCACUCCAUCUCACCUUGUUGGCAGAGUACAAAUGUGAUGGAAACUUGUACGAAAUCUUUGACAAAAUAGUGCGGUAUUAGUCAAGAGAGCCAUGCUUUGUCUUUUAGUGAUCGCUUUUCACUAUAGAAAUUAAUGACCAAAAUCAAAUACAAAAUAUUUAUUCUGUGACAAUUGUUGUAUAUUGAUUAGACUAAUAAAUAAUAAUAAUAUUCUGCCUUGGCGGAGAGGAGUCCUCUUUAGCCGGAGGAUGCGGCUCUCCGCCCAAGAAACCGGCCACCGCAACGACCAUCGAGGGAUCUCAGCUUGGGACGACCCAGAGUCGACCCCGCUGUGCCCUCAACCCUCCCAUCAACGAGCGACAGCCGGCACCCCUGAAGCUAAGAAAUAAUAUUUCCGGACGAGGGGUGGCUCCAAGUCUGCGAAGAAGACCGGCCGGGGAAGUGAAUUCGAGUUCCAGCGUCCAACCUCCCUGACGAGCUGCUGGGGGCCAGCGUGGAAGAGCGUCAAGCCUUGGCUAACGCCCGGCUGCUCACCAUGCUUCUAACUCAGCCAAGUCAACUUUGAGAAAACCAGCCCAAGCUGACAUCGAAGUUCCUGGCCAUCAUUCUGAUCAGUCGAACAGGCCUCGCGGCUCCUGGUGGAUGGUGGCUACGUGGGACCAAGAUUGCAGUGAGGACCGGCGCCCUGAACCCGCCUUCGGAGACGACCCCGGCUAUUCUGAUUUGUCCAGGCGCCAAUUCCCGACUUGGCCUCUUUUGUAGGCCCGUCGGGUCUUGUGUAUUACUGUUCAUCCAGAAUAAAUACAGAAUAAUAAUAAGGAACAGUGAUGGCGACAGGCAAUCGGCGGGCGCUGCUUUUUUCCCCAUGCUGGCCAUGUAAAAUGCCCUCGCGCGGUCGCCUCUCAAAGCGCUCUUCAUUGGGCAAAACAAAUUUUAAUUGGUACUAAUGAAUGGCUGAAGAUUCGCACUUAAACAUAAGUCAGAACCAAAAUCGAUAAAUUGAUUGAUUUUGAGAAAUCGGUGAAUGCAUUUCAUACUCUCUCGCGCGCGAGGUCUGGUCACGUGAUGUGGGCGAGCGAGCUGAUUGGCUGUUGGCCGCUCCCACUCUUAGCGUCAAGUUUCACUUGAUGCGGGCGAGCGCUCUAAAAGUAAAGGGAGCGACCAGCAACCAAUCAGCGCGCUCACCCACGUCACGUGACCUUUUUCCCGCCAGUGAGCAUGAAAUAUAAUAGUUCACCAUAGAAGAUACCAUUAAAUAAUGAACUUAAUUGCAAUUUUAAAAUAAAUUGUUCACUUUUAAACCGAUUCAAGUUAUGAAAAUGUCACCGAAAAUUCGCAUAGUCUAGUUUUGGUACAUGCCACGCCUCUUUUCAAGAAUUUUAAGCAAAGUGACGUUUCCUUCUUCCUUCGACUAUUGGUAUUAAAAAAAUACUAGGUUUUCCAGUCGAUUUUUUAAUUUGCGUGACACCGGCCGCCGAAGAGGGGGCGUAACCGGGAGAAAACAAUAUGGUGGAAAAGACAGGGCAGGCAAGAGUGCAUUGUUCGCCGCUAAAAGGGGGUGUCGUUCUCUGCCAUAUUGUAUUCCCUCGGUUACGCCCCCCUCUUUGGCGGCGGGUUUCACGCAUAUCAAAAAAUCGGCUGGAAAAUCUAGUAUUUUCAAAUUCAUAACCCGGUUGAAGGAAACAUUCCUAUAAGUAGGAACGUCACCCGUUUAAAAAUCCCGCCAGUUACGCCCCCUUGGAAUGAUUAAUUUUAAAAGCGAAUUCAGUUUGGACCAAGUUAGUUUAAUUAUCAGCCUUUUUGUUAGAUGAUUUUCAUUUGGGAACAUAAAAAUGCCAGUUUUUGUUUCAUUUUAAAUUUUAUUUCAUAUAAAAAUAACUGAAUCAUACAAACACGUGGAUAUGCAAAUUCCUCUCUUGAAAUAUUGAAUGGAGCGCUAUAUAGCAAAAAAUUAAUCAUCUGAGCUGUAAACAGUGCAACUAGCUCGUUUCGGAAAAUAAAAAACACAGUGAGAGUGCUCCGACAACAAAAAACACAACAUUUAUUCACAGCGUUCGCCGACACAACAGAAGCAAUCGAGACAGAAGGCACUUCUUUCCCCGGGCUAAACGAAUAAUAGACUUUGUCGCCUUCCAACUCCGAUCUAGUCGGAAAUAAAAUAAAAUAGAGAUUCCGCUUUCGAGUCUUGCUUGCAGCCAACACACGCACGUCAUGAACUUGCCCCUUUUCUUAAUCAUCGUGAUUUUGUGCCAACGCAAAAGUAAUGGUUUAUUCUCUUUUGUUUCAAAUCGGAAUCUACACGAUAUAAUAAAGAAUAUAUAAUAUAUAAUGUGGUUUAAUCCUGGCUA
Cloeon dipterum is the source of this 3053-nucleotide long non-coding RNA. RefSeq lists it as uncharacterized. The record is from RefSeq and is a predicted model, not a curated record. The transcript has 2 exons. NCBI's taxonomy places the organism in Eukaryota, Metazoa, Arthropoda, Insecta, Ephemeroptera, Baetidae.